GACGAACGCUGGCGGCGUGCUUAACACAUGCAAGUCGAGCGGUAAGGCCCUUUCGGGGGUACACGAGCGGCGAACGGGUGAGUAACACGUGGGUGACCUGCCCUCAGCUCUGGGAUAAGCCUGGGAAACCGGGUCUAAUACCGGAUAUGACUCCAUGACGCAUGUUGUGGGGUGGAAAGCCUUGUGCGGCUGAGGAUGGGCCCGCGGCCUAUCAGCUUGUUGGUGGGGNGAUGGCCUACCAAGGCGACGACGGGUAGCCGGCCUGAGAGGGCGACCGGCCACACUGGGACUGAGACACGGUCCAGACACCUACGGGUGGCAGCAGUCGAGAAUUUUUCUCAAGUGGGGGAAACCCUGAAGGAGCGACGCCGCGUGGAGGAUGAAGGUCUUUC
Molecule: ribosomal RNA, 392 nt
Filed under: uncultured bacterium
Lineage: Bacteria
Description: bacterial SSU rRNA
Rfam family: Bacterial small subunit ribosomal RNA
Source: RNAcentral